CCAACAGGGAUUGCCUCAGUAACGGCGAGUGAAGCGGCAACAGCUCAAAUUUGAAAUCUGGCCCCCCGGGUCCGAGUUGUAAUUUGCAGAGGAUGCUUCGGGCGCGGCGUCGACCAAGUCCCCUGGAACGGGGCGCCAUAGAGGGUGAGAGCCCCGUCGGGUCGGCCGCCAAGCCUGUGUGAAGCUCCUUCGACGAGUCGAGUAGUUUGGGAAUGCUGCUCUAAACGGGAGGUAGACCCCUUCUAAAGCUAAAUAUUGGCCAGAGACCGAUAGCGCACAAGUAGAGUGAUCGAAAGAUGAAAAGCACUUUGAAAAGAGGGUUAAACAGUACGUGAAAUUGUUGAAAGGGAAGCGCUUGUGACCAGACGUGCGCCGGGUGUUCAGCGGGCGUUCUCGCCCGUGUACUCGCCCCGGCGCAGGCCAGCGUCGGUUCGGAUGGGGGGACAAAGGCCCCGGGAAUGUGGCUCCUCCGGGAGUGUUAUAGCCCGGGGCGUCAUGCCCCCGCCCGGACCGAGGUUCGCGCUCUGCAAGGACGCUGGCGUAAUGGUCCCCAGCGGCCCGUCUUGAAACACGGACCAAGGAGUCGAGGUUUUGCGCGAGUGUUUGGGUGUCAAACCCGCACGCGUAAUGAAAGUGAACGCAGGUGGGAGCUUCGGCGCACCACCGACCGAUCCUGAUGUUCUCGGAUGGAUUUGAGUAGGAGCGUAGGGCCUCGGACCCGAAAGAUGGUGAACUAUACGUGGAUAGGGUGAAGCCAGAGGAAACUCUGGUGGAGGCUCGCAGCGGUUCUGACGUGCAAAUCGAUCGUCAAAUCUGCGUAUGGGGGCGAAAGACUAAUCGAACCAU
RNAcentral lists this ribosomal RNA (846 nucleotides) under Dinemasporium pseudodecipiens. RNAcentral's name for it is "partial large subunit ribosomal RNA". It matches the Rfam family "Eukaryotic large subunit ribosomal RNA", at positions 65 to 943 of the family's 3401-position model. The record is from RNAcentral. Lineage: Eukaryota; Fungi; Ascomycota; Sordariomycetes; Chaetosphaeriales; Chaetosphaeriaceae.